Molecule: ribosomal RNA, 909 nt
Filed under: Rhodotorula mucilaginosa
Lineage: Eukaryota; Fungi; Basidiomycota; Microbotryomycetes; Sporidiobolales; Sporidiobolaceae
Description: LSU rRNA
Rfam family: Eukaryotic large subunit ribosomal RNA
Source: RNAcentral
UAAGCAUAUCAAUAAGCGGAGGAAAAGAAACUAACAAGGAUUCCCCUAGUAGCGGCGAGCGAAGCGGGAAGAGCUCAAAUUUAUAAUCUGGCACCUUCGGUGUCCGAGUUGUAAUCUCUAGAAAUGUUUUCCGCGUUGGACCGCACACAAGUCUGUUGGAAUACAGCGGCAUAGUGGUGAGACCCCCGUAUAUGGUGCGGACGCCCAGCGCUUUGUGAUACAUUUUCGAAGAGUCGAGUUGUUUGGGAAUGCAGCUCAAAUUGGGUGGUAAAUUCCAUCUAAAGCUAAAUAUUGGCGAGAGACCGAUAGCGAACAAGUACCGUGAGGGAAAGAUGAAAAGCACUUUGGAAAGAGAGUUAACAGUACGUGAAAUUGUUGGAAGGGAAACGCUUGAAGUCAGACUUGCUUGCCGAGCAAUCGGUUUGCAGGCCAGCAUCAGUUUUCCGGGAUGGAUAAUGGUAGAGAGAAGGUAGCAGUUUCGGCUGUGUUAUAGCUCUCUGCUGGAUACAUCUUGGGGGACUGAGGAACGCAGUGUGCCUUUGGCGGGGGUUUCGACCUCUUCACACUUAGGAUGCUGGUGGAAUGGCUUUAAACGACCCGUCUUGAAACACGGACCAAGGAGUCUAACAUGCUUGCGAGUAUUUGGGUGUCAAACCCGGAUGCGUAAUGAAAGUGAAUGGAGGUGGGAACCGCAAGGUGCACCAUCGACCGAUCUGGAUUUUUAAUGAUGGAUUUGAGUAAGAGCACGUAUGUUGGGACCCGAAAGAUGGUGAACUAUGCCUGAAUAGGGCGAAGCCAGAGGAAACUCUGGUGGAGGCUCGUAGCGGUUCUGACGUGCAAAUCGAUCGUCAAAUUUGGGUAUAGGGGCGAAAGACUAAUCGAACCAUCUAGUAGCUGGUUCCUGCCGAA